GACCCCGCACAAGCAGCGGAGCAUGUGGUUUAAUUCGAUGCAACCCGAAGAACCUUACCAGGGCUUGACAUCCCUCUGACCGGUAUAGAGAUAUACCUUCCCUUCGGGGCAGAGGUGACAGAUAGUGCAUGGUUGUCGUCAGCUCGUGUCGUGAGAUGUUGGGUUAAGUCCCGCAACGAGCGCAACCCUCGUCUUUAGUUGCCAGCAUUUCGGAUGGGAACUCUAAAGAGACCGCCGGGGAUAACUCGGAGGAAGGUGGGGAUGACGUCAAAUCAUCAUGCUUCUUACGUCCUGGGCUACACACGUGCUACAAUGGUCCGUAACAAAGAGCAGCGAAGCCGCGAGGUGGAGCGAAACUCAAAAACCGGAUCCCAGUUCGGAUUGCAGGCUGAAACCCGCCUGCAUGAAGUUGGAGUUGCUAGUAAUCGCGAAUCAGCAUGUCGCGGUGAAUACGUUCCCGGGGUUU
This 466-nucleotide ribosomal RNA is filed under the name uncultured bacterium. RNAcentral's name for it is "bacterial SSU rRNA". It matches the Rfam family "Bacterial small subunit ribosomal RNA", at positions 917 to 1382 of the family's 1533-position model. The record is from RNAcentral.